RNAcentral lists this ribosomal RNA (253 nucleotides) under uncultured bacterium. Its description in RNAcentral is "partial 16S ribosomal RNA". It matches the Rfam family "Bacterial small subunit ribosomal RNA", at positions 524 to 776 of the family's 1533-position model. The record is from RNAcentral.
UACGUAGGGUGCGAGCGUUGUCCGGAAUUAUUGGGCGUAAAGGGCUCGUAGGCGGUCUGUUGCGUCAGGAGUGAAAACUCGGGGCUUAACCCCGAGCCUGCUUCUGAUACGGGCAGACUAGAGGUAUGCAGGGGAGAACGGAAUUCCUGGUGUAGCGGUGAAAUGCGCAGAUAUCAGGAGGAACACCGGUGGCGAAGGCGGAUCUCUGAGCCUUACCUGACGCUGAGGCGCGAAAGCUAGGGGAGCAAACAGG